GUGACUGCGUACCUUUUGUAUAAUGGGUCAGCGACUUAUAUUCUGUAGCAAGGUUAACCGAAUAGGGGAGCCGAAGGGAAACCGAGUCUUAACUGGGCGUUAAGUUGCAGGGUAUAGACCCGAAACCCGGUGAUCUAGCCAUGGGCAGGUUGAAGGUUGGGUAACACUAACUGGAGGACCGAACCGACUAAUGUUGAAAAAUUAGCGGAUGACUUGUGGCUGGGGGUGAAAGGCCAAUCAAACCGGGAGAUAGCUGGUUCUCCCCGAAAGCUAUUUAGGUAGCGCCUCGUGAAUUCAUCUCCGGGGGUAGAGCACUGUUUCGGCAAGGGGGUCAUCCCGACUUACCAACCCGAUGCAAACUGCGAAUACCGGAGAAUGUUAUCACGGGAGACACACGGCGGGUGCUAACGUCCGUCGUGAAGAGGGAAACAACCCAGACCGCCAGCUAAGGUCCCAAAGUCAUGGUUAAGUGGGAAACGAUGUGGGAAGGCCCAGACAGCCAGGAUGUUGGCUUAGAAGCAGCCAUCAUUUAAAGAAAGCGUAAUAGCUCACUGGUCGAGUCGGCCUGCGCGGAAGAUGUAACGGGGCUAAACCAUGCACCGAAGCUGCGGCAGCGACACUAUGUGUUGUUGGGUAGGGGAGCGUUCUGUAAGCCUGUGAAGGUGU
Molecule: ribosomal RNA, 666 nt
Filed under: Escherichia coli
Lineage: Bacteria; Pseudomonadati; Pseudomonadota; Gammaproteobacteria; Enterobacterales; Enterobacteriaceae
Also listed under: 1 other name
Description: bacterial LSU rRNA
Rfam family: Bacterial large subunit ribosomal RNA
Source: RNAcentral